UGCUUAGCGUGUGCGACGACUUCGCCGCUAGGAGGCUGUGACAGAGAGAGGGCAGUAGGCUGAUGAUGUGACGCCCCAGCUUCCCAGGGGGUCACCCAUCCUAGGACUACUCCCAUCCCAGCACGCUUAACUCUCUUAACCUCUUGGGACUUGCCACCACCCAAAAUGCUUAAGCCGGGUUAAGAGUUUAGCCCUCUUAUAUCUCAUAUAUAGGACUAUCUGAGGUCUCACAAUCUCCCCUCCUUUAAGCCUUGACGUCCUCGUCAGGCUCAGACUCACAAGUACCAGGCGAUGUGAGACUCGUCUGGCUAGCCCGUCAUCCAGACCCUGGCUCAGCAGAGACUCAUCUCACACUUCCGGCUGGUAAUUGGCUCUGAUACCAUCUGUGACGCCCCAGCUUCCCAAGGGGUCACCCAUCCUAGGACUACUCCC
Molecule: long non-coding RNA, 432 nt
Filed under: Ananas comosus (pineapple)
Lineage: Eukaryota; Viridiplantae; Streptophyta; Magnoliopsida; Poales; Bromeliaceae
Description: long non-coding RNA (ACOM_LNC012071)
Source: RNAcentral